GAUGAACGCUAGCGGCAGGCUUAACACAUGCAAGUUGAGGGGCAGCAUGAACAAUAGCAAUAUUGUUUGAUGGCGACCAGCGCACGGGUGCGUAACACGUAUGCAAUCUACCUUAUACUGGGGCAUAACUCCGAGAAAUCGGUGCUAAUUCCCCAUAACACUACAGAGUGGCAUCACUCCAUAGUUAAAGUUCCGGCGGUAUAAGAUGAGCAUGCGUCCAAUUAGCUAGUUGGUGAGGUAACGGCUCACCAAGGCUACGAUUGGUAGGGGUUCUGAGAGGAUGACUCCCCCACACUGGUACUGAGACACGGACCAGACUCCUACGGGAGCAGCAGUGAGGAAUAUUGCACAAUGGGCGCAAGCCUGAUGCAGCC
This 374-nucleotide ribosomal RNA is filed under the name uncultured bacterium. Its description in RNAcentral is "bacterial SSU rRNA". It matches the Rfam family "Bacterial small subunit ribosomal RNA", at positions 28 to 393 of the family's 1533-position model. The record is from RNAcentral.